GAUGAACGCUGGCGGCGUGCCUAAUACAUGCAAGUCGAGCGAACAGACGAGGAGCUUGCUCCUCUGACGUUAGCGGCGGACGGGUGCGUAACACGUGGAUAACCUACCUAUAAGACUGGGAUAACAACGGGAAACCGGAGCUAAUACCGGAUAAUAUAUUGAACCGCAAGGGUCAAGAGUGAAAGACGGUUUUGCGUACACUUAUAGAUGGAUCAGCGCCGCAUUAGCUAGUUGGUAAGGUAACGGCUUACCAAGGCAACGAUGCGUAGCCGACCUGAGAGGGUGAUCGGCCACACUGGAACUGAGACACGGUCCAGACUCCUACGGGGGGACGCAGUAGGGAAUCUUCCGCAAAGGGCGAAAGCCUGACGGAGCAACGCCGCGUGAGUGAUGAAGGACUUCGGAUCGUAGAACUCUGUUAUUAGGGAAGAACAAAUGUGUAAGUAACUAUGCACGUCUUGACGGUACCUAAACAGAAAGCCACGGCUAACUACGUG
This 497-nucleotide ribosomal RNA is filed under the name uncultured bacterium. RNAcentral's name for it is "partial 16S ribosomal RNA". It matches the Rfam family "Bacterial small subunit ribosomal RNA", at positions 28 to 507 of the family's 1533-position model. The record is from RNAcentral.